GAGAGACUUCCUGUCAUUUCUAUUGGUUUCUGCAUGUGGGACCAAUAUGGGCAAUGCAAAGUUUAAACAGAUGCAAAUGAUGAGGGGAGGGGGCAAAGCCCUGCCUCGUUUUACAUAUUUCUCCACCUCCAGAUUGAGUUUAAGUCUCCCCUAGAAGCUUCCACAGCAGACUGCCACUAAGUUACAGCACGCUUGAAUGGGUUACUUCACCAAUAUUUGCUUAUGGAAAUAAAGGGGAGUGUCGGGGGUGGGGGAGGGGGAGGAGGGGAGGAGGGGUUUGCGACAGAGGGAGGCUCGACCACAGCACCAGUAACCUUGUCUGAUGUGAUCAUUAACCUUUCUGGAAAAAGCAGCUGGCCGUUGUCUGAGGCUCGUCAGUAGAAUGUGAGGGGAGCCUCACAGAUACCGCACAGACUAUUCAAGACUGGUUUACGUUGGGAGCUGUUGCUCUACUUCAGGGGGGCAAGAAAAUGAGUUUGCAACAAUUCCUUUUUGCCUUUCUGCUUUUCGUGAUGAGUCUUCUUCUUAUCAACGGACAGAGACCAGCUAAUUUGGCUGUGAGAAGAAAAUUGCACAGACACAACUGCCUUCAGAGGAGAUGUGUGCCUCUCCAUUCACGGGUGCCCUUCCCCUGAGAAUGGAUAAGAAAGAAUUAACACCAGCCUCUGUGGAUUCGAACUCUGACCACAAGCUGACUCACUGGUGGUCACUGUGUGGACCUUCUCUAGAUUAUCGUACCUGGUCUACCAGAAGAGGAAUGAAGGAAAGAUACCCACCCACACCAUAGUGUGAUUGCUUAGAAGUUCCUCUACAAAAAGGAAUCCUUUGAAAGCAUCUGGGAUGGUUUAUUAAUCUUACAGGAUUCUCUUCCCGGUUUCUCUUUAGAGGGGAAAAUAACAAAUUCAAAAGCAAUUCCAGUCUGAAGCACAAUUAUUUGCUUGUAUAUUAAAAAUCUCUCUUUUUCUGCACAUUACUAUUCCUAGAGGAGUUAAAAUAAAAACACUUUUUAAUGUCUUAGUACAAGAAUUAAAAUUUUUCUUUCAUAAUUCUGUAAUUCUCCACAAGUAUUAAAAUGUUUGUAUACGUUUGUAUAUGUUUGAGUGAUUUUUUUUUCAAAAAUGCUAAAUCUCUAAUCAAAUGCUUUGACCGUUUGGCUUUACAGAAUAAGGAUACAUUAAUUGGUUCAUUGAUUAUUUAUAUAGUGAAACUAAGAAAGAAGCUAUUAAUUGCUAUCAAUUUUAUAUUAUAGGUUUUAAUGUUUAUGAAAGUAUUUUUUUUAUUUUGAACAAUACCCAUAAAGUCAUAAAAGAAAGUUUGAAAUACUAAGAUGUUAAUUUCUGAAUCUGUCUCUCAUUAUGUAAUUACAAGAAGCCAGUGCUUUAUUUCCUUCCCAGUGUGAGGUCUUCCCAAGUUGUUAAAUACACUCUUAAUUUGUAUUUAUUAAAAGACUAAAGUUAGCUCAAUGCCAUAAAGUUUUUAUUUUACUGUAAGUAAAUUCCAGGUAUGAAAUUUAUGAAAUCUUGAUUAGAAAUUUUGCUUAUAAACAUUGUAGAGUGGAAGAAACAAUAAACCAUUAACCCUUAUUUUGAUAAAAUGGAACCUUGGGGGCACCUGGGUGGCUCAGUCUGUUAAGCCUCUGCCUUUGGCUUAGGUCAUGAUCUCAGGGUCCUGGGNNNNNNNNNNNNNNNNNNNNNNNNNNNNNNNNNNNNNNNNNNNNNN
Mustela putorius furo (domestic ferret) is the source of this 1719-nucleotide long non-coding RNA. NCBI's taxonomy places the organism in Eukaryota, Metazoa, Chordata, Mammalia, Carnivora, Mustelidae. The record is from Ensembl.